Molecule: ribosomal RNA, 463 nt
Filed under: uncultured bacterium
Lineage: Bacteria
Description: partial 16S ribosomal RNA
Rfam family: Bacterial small subunit ribosomal RNA
Source: RNAcentral
AGUGAACGCUGGCGGCGUGCUUAAUACAUGCAAGUCGAACGAUGGAGUCCUAGCUUGCUAGGAUGGAUUAGUGGCGCACGGGUGAGUAAUAUAUAGUUAAUCUGCCUUGCACUGAGGAACAACAGUUGGAAACGAUUGCUAAUACCUCAUACUCCAACUUUACAUAAGUUAAGUUGGGAAAGUCUUUUCGGUGCAAGAUGAGACUAUAUCGUAUCAGCUAGUUGGUAAGGUAAUGGCUUACCAAGGCUAUGACGCGUAACUGGUCUGAGAGGAUGAUCAGUCACAUUGGAACUGAGACACGGUCCAAACUCCUACGGGAGGCAGCAGUAAGGAAUAUUGUGCAAUGGGGGAAACCCUGACGCAGCAACGCCGCGUGGAGGAUGACACUUUUCGGAGCGUAAACUCCUUUUGUUAGGGAAGAAUAAUGACGGUACCUAACGAAUAAGCACCGGCUAACUCCGUG